Molecule: ribosomal RNA, 253 nt
Filed under: uncultured bacterium
Lineage: Bacteria
Description: partial 16S ribosomal RNA
Rfam family: Bacterial small subunit ribosomal RNA
Source: RNAcentral
UACGGGGGGAGCAAGCGUUGUUCGGAUUUACUGGGCGUAAAGGGCGCGUAGGCGGUCGUGACAAGUCACUUGUGAAAUCUCCGGGCUUAACUCGGAACGGUCAAGUGAUACUGUCGGACUAGAGUACAGAAGGGCAACUGGAAUUCUCGGUGUAGCGGUGAAAUGCGUAGAUAUCGAGAGGAACACCUGUGGCGAAGGCGGCGAUCUGGGAAGAUACUGACGCUGAGGUGCGAAAGCGUGGGGAGCAAACAGG